GAUGAACGCUGGCGGCGUGCCUCAAACAUGCAAGUCGAGCGGGGCUAUGUAAUAUCGCAAGGUAGAACAUAGCCUAGCGGCGAACGGGUGAGUAACACGUGGGUAACCUGCCUGGAAGACAGGGAUAACGAUUCGAAAGGGUCGCUAAUACCUGAUAAUAUCCUUUCAUCGCAUGGUGAUAGGAAGAAAGGGGAAACCCGCUUUCAGAUGGGCCCGCGUCCCAUCAGCUAGUUGGUAAGGUAAAGGCUUACCAAGGCGACGACGGGUAGCCGGUCUGAGAGGAUGUACGGCCACACUGGGACUGAGAUACGGCCCAGACUCCUACGGGAGGCAGCAGUUGGGAAUCUUAGGCAAUGGACGAAAGUCUGACCUAGCGACGCCGCGUGAGGGAAGAAGGCCUUCGGGUGUAAACCUCUGUCAUGGGGAAGAAGUAAGUGACGGUACCCAAGAGGAAGCCCCUGCUAACUACGUG
Molecule: ribosomal RNA, 472 nt
Filed under: uncultured bacterium
Lineage: Bacteria
Description: bacterial SSU rRNA
Rfam family: Bacterial small subunit ribosomal RNA
Source: RNAcentral